AAAAAAAGGUUUCCAUUGCUCGCCAGAUUACUGAUCUUUCCAUCUUCAACCUCUCAUCUUUUUCUUGGCAAAAAUGAAGCUCGUCUUUGCAACCUUCAUGCUUGUUUGCCUUGUCCUCAGCUCCUCUUUCUUUGAGGCAUCAAUGGCUGGGUCUCGUACGAUCCUUACUUUUUUCAACUAGCUACUCUUUUUGUGUAAUUAAUUAACCAUGUUUCUCUAGAGUUCAUAAUAUUCUUCUUUCAUUUUUCUUUCCUCUCUUAAUUUGUUUCUAAAACUAGGAAUAUAUGGCAAAUUUGAGUUAGGUCAAUUAGUCAGGAUAAUGUGUUCACUUUCUUACAGUCGAGUAAGAGUACCUUUUUAUAGAUUAAAGUAGUUUAGAAUAUAACUUUGUUGAAACUAAUAUAUAUAUAUAUAUAUAUAUAUAUAUAUAUAUAUAUAUAUAUAUAUGGUGUUCUAAUUAACCUACCUAUUUGCAUGAAUUUUGUUAUGAAUUUUGCAGCAUUUUGUGACUCGAAGUGUGGGGUGAGAUGUUCAAAAGCUGGAUACAAGGAAAGGUGCUUGAAGUACUGUGGAAUAUGUUGUGAGAAAUGUCACUGCGUUCCAUCGGGGACUUAUGGGAACAAGGACGAGUGCCCUUGCUAUAGGGACCUCAAAAACUCCAAGGGCGAGGACAAGUGCCCUUAAUUGAUUCAUUUUCUUUUGUGGUCAUUUGUGAUGGUGUUGGUAUGCAUUUGUGCCUGGGAGGUACCCUACAAAAUAUGAACGAAAGUUGAUAUUAUUGUGUAACUUUUAUAUAUU
This 798-nucleotide long non-coding RNA is filed under the name Malus domestica (apple). RNAcentral describes it as "long non-coding RNA (MDOM_LNC014483)". The record is from RNAcentral. Lineage: Eukaryota; Viridiplantae; Streptophyta; Magnoliopsida; Rosales; Rosaceae.